GAAAUGCGAUAAUUAAUGUGAAUUGCAGAAUUCAGUGAAUCAUCGAGUCUUUGAACGCACAUUGCGCCCCCUGGUAUUCCGGGGGGCAUGCCUGUCCGAGCGUCAUUGCUGCCCUCAAGCACGGCUUGUGUGUUGGGCUUCCGUCCCUGGCAACGGGGACGGGCCCAAAAGGCAGUGGCGGCACCAUGUCUGGUCCUCGAGCGUAUGGGGCUUUGUCACCCGCUCCCGUAGGUCCAGCUGGCAGCUAGCCUCGCAACCAAACUUUUUAACCAGGUUGACCUCGGAUCAGGUAGGGAUACCCGCUGAACUUAAGC
Molecule: unclassified non-coding RNA, 314 nt
Filed under: plant metagenome
Description: partial contains 5.8S ribosomal RNA, internal transcribed spacer 2, and large subunit ribosomal RNA
Rfam family: 5.8S ribosomal RNA (bases 1-105)
Source: RNAcentral